This 254-nucleotide ribosomal RNA is filed under the name uncultured bacterium. RNAcentral describes it as "partial 16S ribosomal RNA". It matches the Rfam family "Bacterial small subunit ribosomal RNA", at positions 524 to 776 of the family's 1533-position model. The record is from RNAcentral.
UACGGGGGGAGCAAGCGUUGUUCGGAUUUACUGGGCGUAAAGGGCGCGUAGGCGGUCAGCACAAGUCAGUUGUGAAAUCUCCGGGCUCAACUUGGGAACUGCGUCUGAUACUGGAUGGCUUGAAUUCGGGAGAGGGAUGCAGAAUUCCAGGUGUAGAGGUGAAAUGCGUAGAUAUCUGGAGGAAUACCGGUGGCGAAGGCGGCAUCCUGGACAGAUAUUGACACUGAUGAGCGAAAGCUAGGGGAGCAAACGGG